Molecule: ribosomal RNA, 405 nt
Filed under: Cryptosporidium parvum
Lineage: Eukaryota; Apicomplexa; Conoidasida; Eucoccidiorida; Cryptosporidiidae
Description: SSU rRNA
Rfam family: Eukaryotic small subunit ribosomal RNA
Source: RNAcentral
UAAUAAUUUAUAUAAAAUAUUUUGAUGAAUAUUUAUAUAAUAUUAACAUAAUUCAUAUUACUAUAUAUUUUAGUAUAUGAAAUUUUACUUUGAGAAAAUUAGAGUGCUUAAAGCAGGCAUAUGCCUUGAAUACUCCAGCAUGGAAUAAUAUUAAAGAUUUUUAUCUUUCUUAUUGGUUCUAAGAUAAGAAUAAUGAUUAAUAGGGACAGUUGGGGGCAUUUGUAUUUAACAGUCAGAGGUGAAAUUCUUAGAUUUGUUAAAGACAAACUAAUGCGAAAGCAUUUGCCAAGGAUGUUUUCAUUAAUCAAGAACGAAAGUUAGGGGAUCGAAGACGAUCAGAUACCGUCGUAGUCUUAACCAUAAACUAUGCCAACUAGAGAUUGGAGGUUGUUCCUUACUCCUUCA